This 426-nucleotide ribosomal RNA is filed under the name uncultured prokaryote. RNAcentral describes it as "bacterial SSU rRNA". It matches the Rfam family "Bacterial small subunit ribosomal RNA", at positions 355 to 796 of the family's 1533-position model. The record is from RNAcentral.
UGGGGAAUUUUCCGCAAUGGGGGCAACCCUGACGGAGCAACGCCGCGUGCGGGAGGACGGCCUGUGGGUUGUAAACCGCUUUUCUCUAGGAAGAAGUUCUGACGGUACUAGAGGAAUCAGCAUCGGCUAACUCCGUGCCAGCAGCCGCGGUAAGACGGAGGAUGCAAGCGUUAUCCGGAAUUAUUGGGCGUAAAGAGUCCGUAGGCGGCUAGAUAAGUCAGUUGUUAAAGACUGCAGCUCAACUGUGGGCGAGCACCUGAAACUGUUUAGCUAGAGAGCGGUAGGGGUAGAGGGAAUUCCCAGUGUAGCGGUGAAAUGCGUAGAUAUUGGGAAGAACACCAGUGGCGAAGGCGCUCUACUGGGCCGUGACUGACGCUGAGGGACGAAAGCUAGGGGAGCGAAAGGGAUUAGAUACCCCUGUAGUCC